GAUGAACGCUGGCGGCGUGCCUAACACAUGCAAGUCGAACGGAGAUUACAGACGGAAGUUUUCGGAUGGAAGACUGUAAUUCUUAGUGGCGGACGGGUGAGUAACGCGUGGGCAACCUGCCCUAUACAGGGGGAUGGCAGCUGGAAACGGCUGGUAAGACCGCAUAAGUCGGUUAAAUCGCAUGAUUUGACCGGGAAAUGAGCAAUCAGGUAUAGGAUGGGCCCGCGUCCGAUUAGCCAGUUGGCAGGGUAAAAGCCUACCAAAGCGACGAUCGGUAGCCGGACUGAGAGGUCGGACGGCCACAUUGGGACUGAGACACGGCCCAAACUCCUACGGGAGGCAGCAGUGGGGGAUAUUGCACAAUGGAGGAAACUCUGAUGCAGCGACGCCGCGUGAGUGAAGAAGUAUUUCGGUAUGUAAAGCUCUAUCAGCAGGGAAGAUGAUGACGUACCUGACUAAGAGCCCCGUAUUU
RNAcentral lists this ribosomal RNA (472 nucleotides) under Catonella morbi. RNAcentral describes it as "bacterial SSU rRNA". It matches the Rfam family "Bacterial small subunit ribosomal RNA", at positions 28 to 500 of the family's 1533-position model. The record is from RNAcentral. Lineage: Bacteria; Bacillati; Bacillota; Clostridia; Lachnospirales; Lachnospiraceae.